RNAcentral lists this ribosomal RNA (521 nucleotides) under uncultured Bacillota bacterium. RNAcentral describes it as "bacterial SSU rRNA". The stretch from base 1 to 224 matches the Rfam family "Bacterial small subunit ribosomal RNA", at positions 651 to 873 of the family's 1533-position model. Lineage: Bacteria; Bacillati; Bacillota. The record is from RNAcentral.
GAAGAGGAAAGUGGAAUUCCAAGUGUAGCGGUGAAAUGCGUAGAGAUUUGGAGGAACACCAGUGGCGAAGGCGACUUUCUGGUCUGUAACUGACACUGAGGCGCGAAAGCGUGGGGAGCAAACAGGAUUAGAUACCCUGGUAGUCCACGCCGUAAACGAUGAGUGCUAAGUGUUAGAGGGUUUCCGCCCUUUAGUGCUGCAGCUAACGCAUUAAGCACUCCGCCUGGGAGGUACGUCGGCAGAACUCGUAACAACAAGGAAAGUUGUACGGGGGACCCGGGCCACAAACGACGGUGGGUAGGUAAUUGUUGGGUUUAAGUUUUAACGUCGUAGUCGAACCGAACCGGAACGGAAAACCGUUAACCCCUAACGGAACGUUACGUACGAACUGUUCGGUCCGGAAACGUACCUACGGUAGGGUAAACGAAACCAGGAAGGGUGUCCCGUUCCGGGUAGGGACGCCGGAGGUACGGUUCGGGGUAGGGGACGAACGGACGACCAACGAACGGGGAAGGUAGAGG